Molecule: ribosomal RNA, 192 nt
Filed under: Triticum aestivum (bread wheat)
Lineage: Eukaryota; Viridiplantae; Streptophyta; Magnoliopsida; Poales; Poaceae
Description: partial small subunit ribosomal RNA
Source: RNAcentral
AUGCGAGUUCGAGGCAGCCGGGUGCUCGUGGUGCAUCGUGUACUACCCACGGCCCUUGAAAAACACCGAGUACGUCGCCCUCGCCCUCAAGCUCACCACCGAGCGCGUCAGCCAGCCGAUCAACGCCGCCGUCCGGCUCACGCUGGUCCCUCACCACGGCAAGCCGGCGCCGGCCACGCCGUACCAUCUUAG